ACGCUCGACACCUACGGUAGGCAGCAGUGGGGAAUAUUGCACAAUGGGGGAAACCCUGAUGCAGCGACGCCGCGUGAAGGAAGAAGUAUUUCGGUAUGUAAACUUCUAUCAGCAGGGAAGAAAAUGACGGUACCUGACUAAGAAGCCCCGGCUAACUACGUGCUAGCAGCCGCGGUAAUCUGAGCGGGCUGGCAAGGC
This 198-nucleotide ribosomal RNA is filed under the name uncultured bacterium. RNAcentral describes it as "partial 16S ribosomal RNA". It matches the Rfam family "Bacterial small subunit ribosomal RNA", at positions 326 to 539 of the family's 1533-position model. The record is from RNAcentral.